This 1162-nucleotide ribosomal RNA is filed under the name uncultured bacterium. Its description in RNAcentral is "bacterial SSU rRNA". It matches the Rfam family "Bacterial small subunit ribosomal RNA", at positions 156 to 1369 of the family's 1533-position model. The record is from RNAcentral.
GCUUUGCGGAAUUUCUAAACCAAUUUUCCUUCCAUAGUGAGAACGGGUUCAUCCUCCCGGCGGAGGGGCACAUCAUAAAUAGGUUGGAAAGAACGUCCCAACUGGUUUGAUUCGUUUGAAGAACACACCCACCCUAGUAGAAAGCGCGCCACUCUCCUCUGAGACCACAGGUGGAAUUUUGAACAUUGGCGCAACCUGUUCACCCUUUGCGGGCGUGAGAAAAGCUCUCUGGGUAAACCCUUUUUCAAGAGAUAAAGUUUUGCUUAUACCUGGACUAUAGACGGUCCUAAAGAUAAACCCCGCUAAUUCUUCCAGCAAGCGGGGUUAUACGUAGGGGCCAAGCUUUAUUCGGAUUUCUGGGCUUAAAGCUCGCAGGCGGUUUUCCAAACAGAGGUGAAUCCCUGGACUCAACCUGGGCACUGCUUUGUGACUGCAUGGCUAGAGUACGGUAGAGGGGGAUGGAAUUCCGCGUGUAGCAGUGAAAUGCGUAGAUAUGCGGAGGAACACCGAUGGCGAAGGCAAUUCCCCUGGACCUGUACUGACGCUCAUGCACGAAAGCGUGGGGAGCAAACAAGGAUUAGAUACCCUGGUAGUCCACGCCCUAAACGAUGUCAACUGGUUGUUGGGAGGGUUUCUUCUUCAGUAACGUAGCUGACGCGUGAAGUUGACCGCCUGGGGAGUACGGCCGCAAGGUUGAAACUCAAAGGAAUUGACGGGGACCCGCACAAGCGGUGGAUGAUGUGGUUUAAUUCGAUGCAACGCGAAAAACCUUACCUACCCUUGACAUGUCUGGAAUCCUGAAGAGAUUUGGGAGUGCUCGAAAGAGAGCCAGAACACAGGUGCUGCAUGGCCGUCGUCAGCUCGUGUCGUGAGAUGUUGGGUUAAGUCCCGCAACGAGCGCAACCCUUGUCAUUAGUUGCUACGAAAGGGCACUCUAAUGAGACUGCCGGUGACAAACCGGAGGAAGGUGGGGAUGACGUCAGGUCAUCAUGGCCCUUAUGGGUAGGGCUACACACGUCAUACAAUGGCCGGGACAGAGGGCUGCCAACCCGCGAGGGGGAGCUAAUCCCAGAAACCCGGUCGUAGUCCGGAUCGUAGUCUGCAACUCGACUGCGUGAAGUCGGAAUCGCUAGUAAUCGCGGAUCAGCUGCCGAAGAUUCCC